CGGGAGGCAGCAGUGAGGAAUAUUGGACAAUGGGCGAAAGCCUGAUCCAGCAAUACCGCGUGAGUGAAGAAGGCCUUCGGGUUGUAAAGCUCUUUCAGCAGGGAAAAUAAUGAUGGUACCUGCAAAAGAAGUUCCGGCUAACUCCGUGCCAGCAGCCGCGGUAAUACGGAGGGAACUAGCGUUGUUCGGAUUUACUGGGCGUAAAGGGCGCGUAGGCGGUUUGUUAAGUUAGAAGUGAAAGCCCAGGGCUUAACCCUGGAACUGCUUCUAAAACUGGCAGACUAGAGUGCGGGAGAGGAUAGUGGAAUUCCUAGUGUAGAGGUGAAAUUCUUAGAUAUUAGGAGGAACACCAGUGGCGAAGGCGACUAUCUGGAACGUUACUGACGCUGAGGCGCGAAAGCGUGGGGAGCAAACAGGAUUAGAUACCCGGGU
This 432-nucleotide ribosomal RNA is filed under the name uncultured Rickettsiaceae bacterium. RNAcentral describes it as "bacterial SSU rRNA". It matches the Rfam family "Bacterial small subunit ribosomal RNA", at positions 342 to 791 of the family's 1533-position model. The record is from RNAcentral. Lineage: Bacteria; Pseudomonadati; Pseudomonadota; Alphaproteobacteria; Rickettsiales; Rickettsiaceae.